UUUCAGGGCAGGGUGAAAUUCCCGACCGGCGGUAAAGUCCGCGAGCCUUUUGGCUGAUCCGAUGAAACUACGGAACCGACAGUAUAGUCUGGAUGAAAGAAGU
Molecule: non-coding RNA, 103 nt
Filed under: human gut metagenome
Description: FMN riboswitch (RFN element)
Rfam family: FMN riboswitch aptamer (RFN element)
About the family: The RFN element is a highly conserved domain that is found frequently in the 5'-untranslated regions of prokaryotic mRNAs that encode for flavin mononucleotide (FMN) biosynthesis and transport proteins.
Source: RNAcentral